This 1434-nucleotide long non-coding RNA is filed under the name Elaeis guineensis (African oil palm). RNAcentral describes it as "long non-coding RNA (EGUI_LNC046108)". Lineage: Eukaryota; Viridiplantae; Streptophyta; Magnoliopsida; Arecales; Arecaceae. The record is from RNAcentral.
UGGUUGUAUUCAAUAUUAUUUGAAUGUAAGAAAAAUACAAAACUUAAUAAACUACUCAUGAAUACUGAUAAUAAAAUUAAUGACAAGAGCAUACAUUUGGAUAUUAAUACACGCUUUUUCAACAAACAUACAACCUUAAAUAUCUAAACUAUUUGCAAACGAUUUGUGAUAAGCUUGGCAAUAUGGUUUGUUUGGAUAUGGUUGUAAACUGGCCUACACUCUUCACCUAUUCCUUCAUCACACAUCAUUACACCCCUCAGGAUACAAGGAAGAAAUCCGAUUAAUGGAGCAUAUGUGUGUGUAUAUAUAUAUGAACAAGCAUACAAACAUAUAUAUAUGUAUCUUAUGUAAGCAUGCAUGUGCAUGGGUGUCGGAUUGUGGCUUCUCUUGAGAUAACUUUUGCUUUAAUUAGUGAUAAAGUAAGAGCACUUUUAUCGAGUAGUAGUCAAAAAACAUUGGGGCACACAAAAAAAAGGAAACAUUAGGGCAAGGCUAUCGCGACGUGCAUAACAAGAAUAAUUUUAUUUGGAUAAUAAUAGUUUCUUCUUUCAUGUAUUUUCUUCCUGAUUUUAUCCACUUCUUGUCCUCGAAUUUUUCUAUAGGUUUGAUAUUUUGGAUCACAAACCCAAACUAUUUGCUAAUAUCAUUAAAUAAAAAUAGAUAGCUAUACAAUUAUUUUUCUAUAUAAAAUGUGUGAUAGCUGCUAGUUGCCAACAUGCAAUCACAAAAUGCCUCGCUAAAGAUAAAAUCACAUAAUACACUAGCAUUCCUUAAAUCAAUAUAAAUGAUAAACAACUUCUCUAAUUAUAUGUUGAAUCUGGAUCGGAUAUCAAUGGAGGAAAAUUACAUCGCACAUUUUGGCAGUUGAUAAAUUUUCUUUGUAAAAUAAUAAAAAAAGACCAAAAUAAUUAUGAUAUGUUAAUUCUUUUGAAAUCUAUAAGGAUUUUUCAUUUGUGUCCAUGUGACAUUUUGUAAUACAUUAAUUAUAUUUAUAAUGCACCAUCAAGUAGGAAAUGAUGGGGGAAGUAUAUGUGCGGUGUAGAUUUUUUCAACAUAGAAUACAUUAAUCAUAUAUACAACAACAAAGUUCAUAAAGCGGUGCCACACAUUGACCUUGUACAUAUCCCAAGUGAUGGCACAUCUUAUUGCAUUUUGGGUACUCGGUCCAGCAUAAUCCGAUACACCAAUAUCUCGCUUGUGCUGUGAUAACAAAGAAAAAUUGGAAUUAGCAAACACAUUUACGCUUGCUUGAUCAAAUAUUUAGAAAACUGGGCAAAACUAAGGUGUGCUGUAAGAAUGUUGAACAAUAGAGAGUGAUGUUUAAAGGACUUCAUGUUUGCAUAUUCUUUCUAUUUUCUACACUAAGAUGGAAGAAGAUAUGCACCAUAAGUGAAGAACAUGGCAAGAACUAUGACGGCCAUGAAAAUUUUAUUG